GUUACUUUAAUAUCUAAUGGAAUGAAAUUCAUGCAUUUUUAAAUGUAUUUUAAAAUGUCCAAAUGCAAGUUUGGGUUUACCAUACCUAAUGUUUUGCCUUAUGUCAUCAUGAACAUGAAACCAAAGGAAUGAAAGAAACCUUCAUCGAAAAUUCCAUGACUGCACUGAAAGUGAAAGUUCCCCUGGAGGCACGAGAGGGCGGUGCCUCAGGUGAGAGGAGGAGGGGCAGCUUAGGGAAGGGGCGUGGCUUGUACUGUGUGUGUGUAAGAGAGUAAAUAUUUUUCACUACUGGUGGAACCUGUCCGUCUACUUCACCAGAGACACACGGAUACUCAGCCUGAAGUGCAGGACGUACAAAGAACAGUGGAGAGAACAAACACACAUUUACCAGAAACCAGAAAGAAUGCUGGACGGAGCGACAGUCUGGACAUAGACCACCGGAUUGGACAUCGUAGAUGAAGACAACACGCGUUGUGUUUGUGUUUGUUUACUUGACAGGUGCAUCAGUGGGUUUGAGUUUGAAUGAGACGUGUGUGUUUCUGAGGACCUUUAAUGGGUAGAAGCAUCCUGGAUAUGGGGGGAUGUCAGAGUUACAGCAGCUCUGAUGAAGAGGAUGUCCGAGCUCUGAAGGCAAACUACACUAAUGUCAGCCUGUUCAAAUUAAAGAAUAACAAUCUACAUUUAGUCCCGUCUGCUGAGGUCAAACCUUACCUGACAGAUCACUUCCUGUCCAGACGCAUCACUGAUCUCGACCUUCUGACCCUCUCUGCCCUGUCACACGGCCUCGACCAGCAGGAGUGGAUAGCAACAAACACGGUGUCGUUUUUCGAGCACACUACCCUCUUCUUCAGUGCUCUGUCUGAUUGUUGCUCAAUUACAGCGUGUCCGGCAGCCAACAGCUCAGGAAACCUGUGAGCAGAACAAACACAUUUCGUUACAGCUAGUUAAGAGACUAACUUAGUUCACAGCUUGCAUAUGUACACCUUACAAAAUAUUGCCAAAGUAACAGUUUAUUAUAGUUAACAAGACAAUAUCACAACAGUUUUACAGUGGUAGCUCUGUAGUCACUAUGGUAUUUUGAUGGAAGCUACACUGUAAAACCAAGACAGGAUUUAACAAACUACAAUAAAAAAAAUGUAUGAAACACUGACGGUGAAAUGUGAAACCUGUGAACACACACACACACACACACACACACACAUA
RNAcentral lists this long non-coding RNA (1203 nucleotides) under Sinocyclocheilus grahami. Its description in RNAcentral is "lncRNA (ENSSGRG00000032741.1)". The record is from RNAcentral. Lineage: Eukaryota; Metazoa; Chordata; Actinopteri; Cypriniformes; Cyprinidae.